CAUGCAAGUCGAACGAGUUCUGAUUAUUGAAAGGUGCUUGCAUCUUGAUUUAAUUUUGAACGAGUGGCGGACGGGUGAGUAACACGUGGGUAACCUGCCCUUAAGUGGGGGAUAACAUUUGGAAACAGAUGCUAAUACCGCAUAAAUCCAAGAACCGCAUGGUUCUUGGCUGAAAGAUGGCGUAAGCUAUCGCUUUUGGAUGGACCCGCGGCGUAUUAGCUAGUUGGUGAGGUAACGGCUCACCAAGGCAAUGAUACGUAGCCGAACUGAGAGGUUGAUCGGCCACAUUGGGACUGAGACACGGCCCAAACUCCUACGGGAGGCAGCAGUAGGGAAUCUUCCACAAUGGACGCAAGUCUGAUGGAGCAACGCCGCGUGAGUGAAGAAGGCUUUCGGGUCGUAAAACUCUGUUGUUGGAGAAGAAUGGUCGGCAGAGUAACUGUUGUCGGCGUGACGGUAUCCAACCAGAAAGCCACGGCUAACUACGUGCCAGCAGCCGCGGUAAUACGUAGGUGGCAAGCGUUAUCCGGAUUUAUUGGGCGUAAAGCGAGCGCAGGCGGUUUUUUAAGUCUGAUGUGAAAGCCCUCGGCUUAACCGAGGAAGUGCAUCGGAAACUGGGAAACUUGAGUGCAGAAGAGGACAGUGGAACUCCAUGUGUAGCGGUGAAAUGCGUAGAUAUAUGGAAGAACACCAGUGGCGAAGGCGGCUGUCUGGUCUGUAACUGACGCUGAGGCU
Molecule: ribosomal RNA, 735 nt
Filed under: Lacticaseibacillus rhamnosus
Lineage: Bacteria; Bacillati; Bacillota; Bacilli; Lactobacillales; Lactobacillaceae
Description: bacterial SSU rRNA
Rfam family: Bacterial small subunit ribosomal RNA
Source: RNAcentral